Molecule: ribosomal RNA, 709 nt
Filed under: uncultured bacterium
Lineage: Bacteria
Description: bacterial SSU rRNA
Rfam family: Bacterial small subunit ribosomal RNA
Source: RNAcentral
GUCAACUGGUUGUCGGGGAAGCAAUUCCUUGGUAACGAAGCUAACGCGUGAAGUUGACCGCCUGGGGAGUACGGCCGCAAGGUUAAAACUCAAAGGAAUUGACGGGGACCCGCACAAGCGGUGGAUUAUGUGGAUUAAUUCGAUGCAACGCGAAAAACCUUACCUACCCUUGACAUGUACGGAACCUCGCAGAGAUGUGAGGGUGCUCGAAAGAGAACCGUAACACAGGUGCUGCAUGGCUGUCGUCAGCUCGUGUCGUGAGAUGUUGGGUUAAGUCCCGCAACGAGCGCAACCCUUGCCAUUAGUUGCUACAUUUAGUUGGGCACUCUAAUGGGACUGCCAGUGACAAACCGGAGGAAGGUGGGGAUGACGUCAAGUCCUCAUGGCCCUUAUGGGUAGGGCUUCACACGUAAUACAAUGGUAGGUACAGAGGGUAGCCAACCCGCGAGGGGGAGCCAAUCCCAGAAAGCCUAUCGUAGUCCGGAUUGUAGUCUGCAACUCGACUGCAUGAAGCCGGAAUCGCUAGUAAUCGCGGAUCAGCAUGUCGCGGUGAAUACGUUCCCGGGUCUUGUACACACCGCCCGUCACACCAUGGGAGCGGGUUUCACCAGAAGUAGCUAGUCUAACCGCAAGGAGGACGGUUACCACGGUGAGAUUCGUGACUGGGGUGAAGUCGUAACAAGGUAGCCGAAUCGANNUCCCGCGGCCG